UACGUAGGGUCCGAGCGUUGUCCGGAAUUAUUGGGCGUAAAGAGCUCGUAGGCGGUUUGUCGCGUCUGCUGUGAAAUCCCGAGGCUCAACCUCGGGCCUGCAGUGGGUACGGGCAGACUGGAGUGCGGUAGGGGAGAAUGGAAUUCCUGGUGUAGCGGUGGAAUGCGUAGAUAUCUGGAGGAACACCGGUGGCGAAGGCGGCGUUCUGGACUGCAACUGACACUGAGGAACGAAAGCCAGGGGAGCAAACGGG
Molecule: ribosomal RNA, 253 nt
Filed under: uncultured bacterium
Lineage: Bacteria
Description: partial 16S ribosomal RNA
Rfam family: Bacterial small subunit ribosomal RNA
Source: RNAcentral